AUUUAGAGUUCCACCAACAGUGUAAAGUGUUCUUUUUUUCUCCAGAUCCUGUCUAGCAUUUGUAACUGUAUACUUGAUGACUGUUAUUCUGACUGUCAGAUAAGUUGGCAAGAGCUCUGGCAAUAAGAUUGUUAAGUAUGAAGAUGAGGCCACACCUUGAAGGUAGCAGAGCAGAAAGUCAGAAGGAGACUGGAUUUCUUAAGACAACAUGGAGCCACCAUCACUGUCACGGACUCACCACCUCUAACUUUCUUUUACCUGAGAGAAAAAUAAAUUUCCAUCUUGUUUAAGC
Ictidomys tridecemlineatus (thirteen-lined ground squirrel) is the source of this 292-nucleotide non-coding RNA. The record is from RefSeq and is a predicted model, not a curated record. Lineage: Eukaryota; Metazoa; Chordata; Mammalia; Rodentia; Sciuridae.